GUCUCGCGUCCCCGCGUCCCCGCGUCCCGUGCGGGAGGUUGGAAUCCCCGGGCGCGGGAAGGGGCGGCGGCCCUGCGGCCGCUCGCGUGGGUUGCGUCCGCGUGGCUGUCUUCCCGGUCUGUCAAAUCCAGAAGAUGAUGGGAAUCAUGACCUGAGAGUGCAGACAAAUGACUUGAAAGAUGUCAGUAAGCUGAUCCCAGGCAGCAUUGGAAAGACACGGAGAAGGUUUGCCAGUCUAUUUACCACUCCACGAUUUCUUUGUUAGGAAAGUCAAAUGCUGCCCAGCGGUGUGCUCAGUGGUUGAGCAUCAGCCCAUGCACCAGGAGGUCACGGUUUGAUUCCUGAUUGAGGCACACUCCCAGGUUGUGGGCUUGAUUCCCAGUAGGGGGUGUGCAGAAAGCAGCCAAUCAAUGUUUCUCUCUUUCUCCCUUUCUCUCUUGGAAAUUAAUAAAAACAUAUUUUUUUUUAAAAAA
Molecule: long non-coding RNA, 473 nt
Organism: Eptesicus fuscus (big brown bat)
Lineage: Eukaryota; Metazoa; Chordata; Mammalia; Chiroptera; Vespertilionidae
Exons: 2
Source: RefSeq, a predicted model, not a curated record